GGUGGGAAGUCGUACUUUUAUAACUUCAGUGUGCUGCAGUGUUUACGCUUAAAAUGAGGUCUUCUCGUGAACGCACCUGCAUGUGCUGGUUUUUGGGUGGGAGGUGCGACCAGAUGAGAAAGUCACUCUACAGCCUGGAUAAGACGAGUCAGAAGAAGACCUGAGGCAAAGACAAACAUCAUAAAUCAGCAGAGCAACAGCACCAUCUAGCGGUCAGACCGGGUCACUCCCACAACCAGGAUCCGCUCCAGUGAUCCGGUCCGGUGUUUGGC
This is a long non-coding RNA of Stegastes partitus (bicolor damselfish), 272 nucleotides long. RefSeq lists it as uncharacterized. The transcript is spliced from 3 exons. NCBI's taxonomy places the organism in Eukaryota, Metazoa, Chordata, Actinopteri, Pomacentridae. The record is from RefSeq and is a predicted model, not a curated record.